UACGUAGGGGGCAAGCGUUGUCCGGAUUUAUUGGGCGUAAAGAGCGUGUAGGCGGCCUGAAAGGUCAGCUGUGAAAACUCGAGGCUCAACCUCGAGACGUCGGUUGAAACCAUCUGGCUAGAGUCCGGAAGAGGAGAGUGGAAUUCCCGGUGUAGCGGUGAAAUGCGCAGAUAUCGGGAAGAACACCCGUGGCGAAGGCGGCUCUCUGGGACGGUACUGACGCUGAGGAGCGAAAGCGUGGGGAGCGAACAGG
RNAcentral lists this ribosomal RNA (253 nucleotides) under uncultured bacterium. RNAcentral describes it as "partial 16S ribosomal RNA". It matches the Rfam family "Bacterial small subunit ribosomal RNA", at positions 524 to 776 of the family's 1533-position model. The record is from RNAcentral.